GGGUGAGUAACGCGUGGGUAACCUGCCUUACACAGGGGGAUAACAGUUAGAAAUGACUGCUAAUACCGCAUAAGCGCACAGAAUCGCAUGAUUCAGUGUGAAAAGAUUUAUCGGUGUAAGAUGGACCCGCGUCUGAUUAGCUAGUUGGUGAGGUAACGGCCCACCAAGGCGACGAUCAGUAGCCGGCCUGAGAGGGUGAACGGCCACAUUGGGACUGAGACACGGCCCAAACUCCUACGGGAGGCAGCAGUAGGGAAUAUUGGACAAUGGGGGAAACCCUGAUCCAGCGACGCCGCGUGAGUGAAGAAGUAUUUCGGUACGUAAAGCUCUAUCAGCAGGGAAGAAAAUGACGGUACCUGACUAAGAAGCACCGGCUAAAUACGUGCCAGCAGCCGCGGUAAUACGUAUGGUGCAAGCGUUAUUCGGAUUUACUGGGUGUAAAGGGAGCGUAGACGGCAUAGCAAGUCUGAAGUGAAAUGCGGGGGCUCAACCCCUGAACUGCUUUGGAAACUGUUAAGCUAGAGUGUCGGAGAGGUUAGUGGAAUUCCUAGUGUAGCGGUGAAAUGCGUAGAUAUUAGGAGGAACACCGGUGGCGAAGGCGGCUAACUGGACGAUAACUG
RNAcentral lists this ribosomal RNA (620 nucleotides) under uncultured bacterium. Its description in RNAcentral is "bacterial SSU rRNA". It matches the Rfam family "Bacterial small subunit ribosomal RNA", at positions 104 to 742 of the family's 1533-position model. The record is from RNAcentral.